UAUUUCUUUCGCUUUUCUUUUUAAUUUGCAUUGAACUUUCAAGAACUGAUUUAAUUUUGUUUAGUUUUUCAUUCUAGUUUUAGAGAAAAGGCUGUGAUGAUAGACAACAUUUCUCGAUUCUGAUCAGGACCAAAGAAAAUUUGUUGCUCCUUGAUGACAGUAUUUGU
Non-coding RNA from Lupinus albus (white lupine), 167 nucleotides. The record is from the annotation of a GenBank genome assembly. NCBI's taxonomy places the organism in Eukaryota, Viridiplantae, Streptophyta, Magnoliopsida, Fabales, Fabaceae.